CCUACGGGGGGCAGCAGUGAGGAAUAUUGGUCAAUGGACGAGAGUCUGAACCAGCCAAGUAGCGUGAAGGAUGACUGCCCUACGGGUUGUAAACUUCUUUUAUAUGGGAAUAAAAUGUUCCACGUGUGGGAUUUUGUAUGUACCAUAUGAAUAAGGAUCGGCUAACUCCGUGCCAGCAGCCGCGGUAAUACGGAGGAUCCGAGCGUUAUCCGGAUUUAUUGGGUUUAAAGGGAGCGUAGGUGGAUUGUUAAGUCAGUUGUGAAAGUUUGCGGCUCAACCGUAAAAUUGCAGUUGAAACUGGCAGUCUUGAGUACAGUAGAGGUGGGCGGAAUUCGUGGUGUAGCGGUGAAAUGCUUAGAUAUCACGAAGAACUCCGAUUGCGAAGGCAGUUCACUGGACUGCAACUGACACUGAGGCUCGAAAGUGUGGGUAUCAAACAGGAUUAGAUACCCCAGUAGUC
This 460-nucleotide ribosomal RNA is filed under the name uncultured bacterium. RNAcentral's name for it is "partial 16S ribosomal RNA". It matches the Rfam family "Bacterial small subunit ribosomal RNA", at positions 338 to 795 of the family's 1533-position model. The record is from RNAcentral.